This 396-nucleotide ribosomal RNA is filed under the name Clostridioides difficile. RNAcentral describes it as "bacterial LSU rRNA". It matches the Rfam family "Bacterial large subunit ribosomal RNA", at positions 1894 to 2288 of the family's 2925-position model. The record is from RNAcentral. Lineage: Bacteria; Bacillati; Bacillota; Clostridia; Peptostreptococcales; Peptostreptococcaceae.
AGCAAUCGAAGCAGUGAACUCAAGCCCCAGUAAACGGCGGCCGUACCUAGAACGGUCCUAAGGUAGCGAAAUUCCUGGGCGGGUAAGUUCCGACCCGCACGAAAGGCGUAACGAUUUGGGCACUGUCUCAACAACAGACUCGGUGAAAUUGUAAUUCCGGUGAAGAUGCCGGAUACCGGCGACAGGACGGAAAGACCCCAUGGAGCUUUACUGUAGCUUGACAUUGGGUCUUGGUACUACAUGUACAGGAUAGGUGGGAGGCUUUGAACCCAGGACGCCAGUUUUGGCGGAGCCAUCCUUGGGAUACCACCCUUGUAGUACUGGGACUCUAACCAUAGGCCAUGAAUCUGGUCUUGGGACACUGUCAGGUGGGCAGUUUGACUGGGGCGGUCGCCU